GAUGAAGAACGUAGCGAAAUGCGAUAAGUAAUGUGAAUUGCAGAGUUCAGUGAAUCAUCGAAUCUUUGAACGCACAUUGCGCCACUUGGUAUUCCGAGGGGCAUGCCUGUUCGAGCGUCAUUAUAACCCCUCAAGCUCAGCUUGGUGUUGGGGCCUGCUGCACUGGCAGCCCUUAAAAUCAGUGGCGGCGCCAUCUGGCUCUAAGCGUAGUAAUUCUUCUCGCUAUGGAGUCCUGGUGGAUGCUUGCCAUCAACCCCCAAUUUUUCUAUGGUUGACCUCGGAUCAGGUAGGGAUACCCGCUGAACUUAAGCAUAUCAAUAAGCGGAGGA
Molecule: unclassified non-coding RNA, 329 nt
Filed under: soil metagenome
Description: partial contains 5.8S ribosomal RNA, internal transcribed spacer 2, and large subunit ribosomal RNA
Rfam family: 5.8S ribosomal RNA (bases 1-120)
Source: RNAcentral